UGGGUAACCUGCCUCAAAGAGGGGAAUAGCCUCCCGAAAGGGAGAUUAAUACCGCAUAAUAUGUUUAAGUCGCAUGACUUUAACAUCAAAGGAUUUUCUUUUAAGAAAUUCCACUUUGAGAUGGACCCGCGGCGCAUUAGCUAGUUGGUGAGGUAACGGCUCACCAAGGCAACGAUGCGUAGCCGACCUGAGGAGGGUGAUCCGGCCACAUUGGAACUGGGACACGGUCCAGACUCAGUAGGGAG
RNAcentral lists this ribosomal RNA (245 nucleotides) under uncultured bacterium. RNAcentral describes it as "partial 16S ribosomal RNA". It matches the Rfam family "Bacterial small subunit ribosomal RNA", at positions 118 to 347 of the family's 1533-position model. The record is from RNAcentral.